Molecule: long non-coding RNA, 376 nt
Filed under: Sinocyclocheilus anshuiensis
Lineage: Eukaryota; Metazoa; Chordata; Actinopteri; Cypriniformes; Cyprinidae
Description: lncRNA (ENSSANG00000051150.1)
Source: RNAcentral
CAAAACUCUGCAGGACUGUGGCUCUCCAGGAUCGACGUUGGCCACCCCUGAUGUACGCCAUGCUUCUUCAUUGUAAAGCAGCAGUGUGUACAUCUACAGCAAGUCACCAGGCUGAACCAGCGGUGCUUCAAACAAGAGAACGUGAAGCAGGAGUGACACUGUUUAAAUAGAUCAGGCUCUCCAGGACAAGGCAGAAAGAAAAACAUGCCUCUUUUGUCAAAGCCAGACAAAGCCCCACAGACCUUAAACUGGACUUCUGCUUUCCAGGCUGUCUUCUCUGAUCUCCAGUCAUCCGAGAGGCUUCUGCCAGCCUGCGAGCUGUCAAAGUAGCCCUGGAAUCAAACGCCACUCCAUGCUCAGCUAUGAUCAAAGGAAC